UGGGGAAUUUUGGACAAUGGGCGAAAGCCUGAUCCAGCAAUGCCGCGUGUGUGAAGAAGGCCUUCGGGUUGUAAAGCACUUUUGUCCGGAAAGAAAUCCUUGGCUCUAAUACAGUCGGGGGAUGACGGUACCGGAAGAAUAAGCACCGGCUAACUACGUGCCAGCAGCCGCGGUAAUACGUAGGGUGCAAGCGUUAAUCGGAAUUACUGGGCGUAAAGCGUGCGCAGGCGGUUUGCUAAGACCGAUGUGAAAUCCCCGGGCUCAACCUGGGAACUGCAUUGGUGACUGGCAGGCUAGAGUAUGGCAGAGGGGGGUAGAAUUCCACGUGUAGCAGUGAAAUGCGUAGAGAUGUGGAGGAAUACCGAUGGCGAAGGCAGCCCCCUGGGCCAAUACUGACGCUCAUGCACGAAAGCGUGGGGAGCAAACAGGAUUAGAUACCCUGGUAGUCCACGCCCUAAACGAUGUCAACUAGUUGUUGGGGAUUCAUUUCCUUAGUAACGUAGCUAACGCGUGAAGUUGACCGCCUGGGGAGUACGGUCGCAAGAUUAAAACUUCAAAGGAAUUGACGGGGUCAUAGCUG
RNAcentral lists this ribosomal RNA (580 nucleotides) under uncultured bacterium. RNAcentral's name for it is "partial 16S ribosomal RNA". It matches the Rfam family "Bacterial small subunit ribosomal RNA", at positions 355 to 932 of the family's 1533-position model. The record is from RNAcentral.